This 477-nucleotide ribosomal RNA is filed under the name Candidatus Scalindua brodae. Its description in RNAcentral is "bacterial SSU rRNA". It matches the Rfam family "Bacterial small subunit ribosomal RNA", at positions 365 to 832 of the family's 1533-position model. The record is from RNAcentral. Lineage: Bacteria; Pseudomonadati; Planctomycetota; Candidatus Brocadiia; Candidatus Brocadiales; Candidatus Scalinduaceae. RNAcentral also lists the same sequence under 1 other name.
UUCGCAAUGCCCGAAAGGGUGACGAAGCGACGCCGCGUGGGUGAGGAAGGCCUUCGGGUUGUAAAGCCCUGUCAGGAGUUAAGAAAUGUAAGUGUGCUAAUAUCGCAUUUACUUGACGAAGGCUCCAAAGGAAGUCACGGCUAACUCUGUGCCAGCAGCCGCGGUAAUACAGAGGUGGCAAGCGUUGUUCGGAAUUAUUGGGCGUAAAGAGCACGUAGGUGGGUUUGUAAGUCAGAUGUGAAAGCCUCCUGUUCAACGGGAGAAUUGCAUCUGAAACUAUUGAUCUUGAGUAUAGGAGGGGAGAAUGGAACUUCUGGUGGAGCGGUGAAAUGCGUAGAUAUCAGAAGGAACGCCGGCGGCGAAAGCGAUUCUCUGGCCUAUUACUGACACUCAGUGUGCGAAAGCUAGGGGAGCAAACGGGAUUAGAUACCCCGGUAGUCCUAGCCGUAAACGAUGGGCACUAAGUAGAGGGGUUUU